GAACCUUCCUAGAGUUGACCUCGAAUCAGGUAGGAAUACCCGCU
RNAcentral lists this ribosomal RNA (44 nucleotides) under Metarhizium pseudoatrovirens. RNAcentral's name for it is "partial 28S ribosomal RNA". Lineage: Eukaryota; Fungi; Ascomycota; Sordariomycetes; Hypocreales; Clavicipitaceae. The record is from RNAcentral.